This is a long non-coding RNA of Mytilus trossulus (common blue mussel), 754 nucleotides long. RefSeq lists it as uncharacterized. NCBI's taxonomy places the organism in Eukaryota, Metazoa, Mollusca, Bivalvia, Mytilida, Mytilidae. The record is from RefSeq and is a predicted model, not a curated record. The transcript has 3 exons.
CCAACGACAAAAUGUCAGCUACACAGGCACGUGUGACUAUUAUAUGAUAAAAUUCAUAAUGAUCAACAAGUUCUGAAAACUUGUAUCACUUACAAUAAAUAUUAUCCAGGCUAGAUAAUAAACCAAGGCAUCAUUCAAGCAAAGGCUGUAGAGACGAAAAUCUCUUUUACUGAAUCAUAUGCUGUGUCAUUUGAUAUAAUUUUUUAUUUACACAAAUGCAUAUAAAUAACGAUUUUUAGAUUUUCACGAGGUUGUUAUCAGGAUGUGAUAUUCGCAUAUCAUCCAUGGAUGGAGGCGUAAAAGGUUAUAAAAACAGACUAUUAUAAGAAAUAACAAACAUUUUCAUAAACAAUGAUGGCAAUGCAAUACCAGUCUAUAUAUAGAUGAUACUUUUGUUUUGCAUCUAUGGCUUUUGCGUAGCGGAACACAUUGUUAUAGGACAUGUUGACUCGACAAUCAUAUUAAACUGCACAUUAGACGGAACCUUUACAUGGUACGGUCCUGCCAAAAAUCCCCCUCCAUCUGAAGCGGUUUAUUCCUGGAAGAACCAAUUAAAUGCUUCCGCUAUUCCGGAUAACUUGAGAUCAAGAUUGUCAGUAGAAGGCGACUUUAAUCAUAGGAGACAACCAAAAAAAUCGAGAAACUACAGGUGACAGACCAAGGACUGUACAUGUGCGAACUAAGAGGUCCAGUCGACAAAUUAAGGUUGAAAGUAAUAGAUAGCACAUAGAUUUCAGAAGGUGGAAGAUGACGG